Molecule: microRNA, 20 nt
Filed under: Solanum tuberosum (potato)
Lineage: Eukaryota; Viridiplantae; Streptophyta; Magnoliopsida; Solanales; Solanaceae
Description: stu-miR384-3p
Gene: stu-miR384-3p
Source: miRBase by way of RNAcentral
AGGGGGCCAAAGUGCCAAAC